This 773-nucleotide ribosomal RNA is filed under the name uncultured bacterium. Its description in RNAcentral is "bacterial SSU rRNA". It matches the Rfam family "Bacterial small subunit ribosomal RNA", at positions 8 to 798 of the family's 1533-position model. The record is from RNAcentral.
AGAGUUUGAUCCUGGCUCAGGACGAACGCUGGCGGCGUGCUUAACACAUGCAAGUCGAACGGAAAGGCCCUUCGGGGUACUCGAGUGGCGAACGGGUGAGUAACACGUGGGUGAUCUGCCCUGCACUUUGGGAUAAGCCUGGGAAACUGGGUCUAAUACCGAAUAGGACCACGCGCUUCAUGGUGUGUGGUGGAAAGCUUUUGCGGUGUGGGAUGGGCCCGCGGCCUGUCAGCUUGUUGGUGGGGUAAUGGCCUACCAAGGCGACGACGGGUAGCCGGCCUGAGAGGGUGACCGGCCACACUGGGACUGAGAUACGGCCCAGACUCCUACGGGAGGCAGCAGUGGGGAAUAUUGCACAAUGGGCGCAAGCCUGAUGCAGCGACGCCGCGUGAGGGAUGACGGCCUUCGGGUUGUAAACCUCUUUCAAUAGGGACGAAGCGCAAGUGACGGUACCUAUAGAAGAAGCACCGGCCAACUACGUGCCAGCAGCCGCGGUAAUACGUAGGGUGCGAGCGUUGUCCGGAAUUACUGGGCGUAAAGAGCUCGUAGGUGGUUUGUCGCGUUGUUCGUGAAAACUCACAGCUUAACUGUGGGCGUGCGGGCGAUACGGGCAGACUAGAGUACUGCAGGGGAGACUGGAAUUCCUGGUGUAGCGGUGGAAUGCGCAGAUAUCAGGAGGAACACCGGUGGCGAAGGCGGGUCUCUGGGCAGUAACUGACGCUGAGGAGCGAAAGCGUGGGGAGCGAACAGGAUUAGAUACCCUGGUAGUCCAA